UCCGAGUUAUAUGGCUCAAGUUCUUCUGGUGCAGAGCUCCGGAUUUCCGAAGCUGGUCGGUCGACCGGCCCUCGGACGUCCGGAGGGAGCCGGAAGUCCGAGUUAUAUGGCUCUGAUCUCUCUGGUAUACGAUUCCGGAUUUCCGAAGCAGGUCGGACGUCCGACCCUCGGACGUCCGGAGGAGGCCGGAUGUCCGAGGCAUUGGUUCUGUUUUGAGAUAAGAGCAGAGUAGUGAAGAUGUGGUAUGAGCAGAAAAGUAGAGAUGUAGUAUGAGCAAAUUCAUCGCAAAACCUGUGACCCCCUCUUAAUAGUGCGGGAUCCCUAUACUCAAG
This 332-nucleotide long non-coding RNA is filed under the name Hordeum vulgare. Its description in RNAcentral is "long non-coding RNA (HVUL_LNC019108)". The record is from RNAcentral. Lineage: Eukaryota; Viridiplantae; Streptophyta; Magnoliopsida; Poales; Poaceae.